CAACCCUCAAGCCCCUCCGGGUUUGGCGUUGGGGAUCGGCCCCGCCCCGGCGGCCGGCCCCGAAAUCCAGUGGCGGUCACGCCGCGGCUUCCUCUGCGUAGUAAAUACCUCGCACUGGGACGCGGCGCGGCCACGCCGUAAAUCAGACGAAAUUUCUGAA
This 160-nucleotide unclassified non-coding RNA is filed under the name uncultured Hypocreales. RNAcentral describes it as "sequence contains ITS2". Lineage: Eukaryota; Fungi; Ascomycota; Sordariomycetes; Hypocreales. The record is from RNAcentral.